ACUCCUACGGGAGGCAGCAGUGAGGAAUCUUCCGCAAUGGGCGCAAGUCUGAACCAGCCAUGCCGCGUGCAGGAUGACGGUCCUAUGGAUUGUAAACUGCUUUUGUACGAGAAGAAACACUCCUAUGUAUAGGAGCUUGACGGUAUCGUAAGAAUAAGGAUCGGCUAACUCCGUGCCAGCAGCCGCGGUAAU
This 192-nucleotide ribosomal RNA is filed under the name uncultured Bacteroidota bacterium. RNAcentral describes it as "uncultured Bacteroidetes bacterium partial 16S ribosomal RNA". It matches the Rfam family "Bacterial small subunit ribosomal RNA", at positions 335 to 524 of the family's 1533-position model. Lineage: Bacteria; Pseudomonadati; Bacteroidota. The record is from RNAcentral.